AUUUCUAGUAUGAGAAAUUAACGAUUUAAGUCCUUCUUAAAUGAGGCCAUUUACCCAUAGAGGGCUGCCAGGCCCGUAUAACGUUAAUGAUUACUAGAUGGCAUUUCCAAAGAGUCGUGUUGCUUGAUAGUGCAGCACUAAGUGGGUGGUAAACUCCAUCUAAAACUAAAUAUAACCAUGAGACCGAUAGUAAACAAGUACCGUGAGGGAAAGUUGAAAAGAACUCUGAAUAGAGAGUUAAAUAGUACGUGAAACUGCUUAGAGGUUAAGCCCGAUGAACCUGAAUAUCCAUUAUAGAAAAUUCAUCAUUAUGAUUUUAAUAUUAAUAAUAUUAUAAUAAUGGUGUGCAUUUUUUCUAUAACGGACAUUGUAAUCUAUUAACAUAAAUAUAUUUAUCAUAAGAUCAAUGAUGCGUAAGUUUAUUCAAAUUAUUUUGCUUGCAAUUUAACAUAGAAUAAAUGCUCUUGAUUUGAUAAAGUGUUGAUAGAUUUAUUGUAUAUAGUGCUUAAAUAUUUAUAUUUUAUAAUAGCAUAUUAAUCAUUGAUUUUUAUGUUUAUUAUAUGCACUUAUAUGAUUAACAAUGCGAAAGAUUCAGGAUACCUUCGGGACCCGUCUUGAAACACGGACCAAGGAGUCUAACAUAUUUGCAAGUUAUUGGGUAUCAAAACCUAAUAGCGAAAUUAACAUAACUUUAAUGGGAUUAGUUUUUAGAUUAUUUAUAGUCUAUUAAUUCAAUCCCGGGGCGUUCUAUAUAGUUAUGUAUAAUAAUAUUUAUAUUAUUUAUACCUCUAACUAGAGCGUACCUUGAGCAUAUAUGCUGUGACCCGAAAGAUGGUGAACUAUACUUGAUCAGGU
RNAcentral lists this ribosomal RNA (855 nucleotides) under Sarcophaga arcipes. RNAcentral's name for it is "eukaryotic LSU rRNA". It matches the Rfam family "Eukaryotic large subunit ribosomal RNA", at positions 158 to 846 of the family's 3401-position model. Lineage: Eukaryota; Metazoa; Arthropoda; Insecta; Diptera; Sarcophagidae. The record is from RNAcentral.